This is a non-coding RNA of Vicugna pacos (alpaca), 161 nucleotides long. The record is from RefSeq and is a predicted model, not a curated record. NCBI's taxonomy places the organism in Eukaryota, Metazoa, Chordata, Mammalia, Artiodactyla, Camelidae.
AUUCAAAAUAUUACUGCUCACUGACAGUGCACCUGAACACCCAAGAAGUCUAAAGGAUAUGUACAUCAAGAUUAAUGUUUUCGCGCCUGCCAACACAACAUCCAUUCUUCAGCCCAUGGAUCAAAGAGUAAUUUCAACUUUAAGUCUUAUAAUUUAAGAAA